Molecule: unclassified non-coding RNA, 273 nt
Gene: 7SK
Rfam family: 7SK RNA
About the family: 7SK was discovered as an abundant small nuclear RNA in the mid-70s but a possible function has only recently been suggested.
Source: Ensembl
AGAUGUGGAGUAGUUUGGCUGCGACAUCUGUUGCCUCUUUGUUUCUCUGCGUUGAUGCUAUUGAUCUGAUUGGGGAGGCAGAUGUCCCCCUUCCUCCCUCACUGUUCCCUGUGCACCCCUCCCCCCACCCCGAUGCUGCACAUGUGGAAACCCUGGCAAAUAAACAGGAAGGGAAAGCAGGGUCUUGGGUAAGUUUGUUUAAGGAAAGAGCAGAGGGGAUGGGAAGAGUGGGGCUUGGGACCACAUUUUAGGGAAUGUCAAGAUUGAAUGACU